Molecule: ribosomal RNA, 253 nt
Filed under: uncultured bacterium
Lineage: Bacteria
Description: partial 16S ribosomal RNA
Rfam family: Bacterial small subunit ribosomal RNA
Source: RNAcentral
UACAGAGGUCUCAAGCGUUGUUCGGAUUCAUUGGGCGUAAAGGGUGCGUAGGCGGGUCUUUAAGUCAGGGGGGAAAUCCUGGAGCUCAACUCCAGAACUGCCUUUGAUACUGAAGAUCUUGAGUUCGGGAGAGGUGAGUGGAACUGCGAGUGUAGAGGUGAAAUUCGUAGAUAUUGGGAAGAACACCGGUGGCGAAGGCGGCGCUCUGGACCGAGACUGACGCUGAGGCGCGAAAGCGUGGGGAGCAAACAGG